This 255-nucleotide ribosomal RNA is filed under the name uncultured bacterium. RNAcentral's name for it is "partial 16S ribosomal RNA". It matches the Rfam family "Bacterial small subunit ribosomal RNA", at positions 524 to 776 of the family's 1533-position model. The record is from RNAcentral.
UACGUAGGGUGCAAGCGUUGUCCGGAAUUAUUGGGCGUAAAGAGCUCGUAGGCGGUCUGUCACGUCGGCUGUGAAAACCCGAGGCUCAACCUCGGGCCUGCAGUCGAUACGGGCAAACUAGAGUACUGCAGGGGAGACUGGAAUUCCUGGUGUAGCGGUGAAAUGCGCAGAUAUCAGGAGGAACACCGGUGGCGAAGGCGGGUCUCUGGGCAGUAACUGACGGCUGAGGCGCGGAAAGCCAGGGGAGCAAACGGG